This 231-nucleotide ribosomal RNA is filed under the name uncultured bacterium. RNAcentral describes it as "partial 16S ribosomal RNA". It matches the Rfam family "Bacterial small subunit ribosomal RNA", at positions 118 to 347 of the family's 1533-position model. The record is from RNAcentral.
UGAGCAAUCUGCCCAUCUCAUCGGAAUAAGCGUUGGAAACGACGUCUAAUGCCGAAUACGACCUCCUUUCGCAUGAUCGGAGGUGGAAAGCUCCGGCGGAGAAGGAUGAGCUCGCGGCCUAUCAGCUAGUUGGUGUGGGUAAUGGCCCACCAAGGCGACGACGGGUAGCCGGCCUGAGAGGGUGACCGGCCACACUGGGACUGAGACACGGCCCAGACCUCCGUAGGGAGG